AACGAACGCUGGCGGCAGGCUUAACACAUGCAAGUCGAACGCAUCCUUCGGGGUGAGUGGCAGACGGGUGAGUAACGCGUGGGAACGUGCCCUUCAGUUCGGGAUAACCCAGGGAAACUUGGGCUAAUACCGGAUACGUGCGAGAGCAGAAAGAUUUAUCGCUGAAGGAUCGGCCCGCGUCUGAUUAGCUAGUUGGUGGGGUAAUGGCCCACCAAGGCGACGAUCAGUAGCUGGUCUGAGAGGAUGAUCAGCCACAUUGGGACUGAGACACGGCCCAAACUCCUACGGGAGGCAGCAGUGGGGAAUAUUGGAAAAUGGGCUCAAGCCUGAACCAGCCAUGCCGCGUGAGUGAUGAAGGCCUUAGGGUUGUAAAGCUCUUUCGUCCGGGACGAUAAUGACGGUACCGGAAGAAGAAGCCCCGGCUAACUUCGUGCCAGCAGCCGCCGUAA
Molecule: ribosomal RNA, 449 nt
Filed under: uncultured bacterium
Lineage: Bacteria
Description: partial 16S ribosomal RNA
Rfam family: Bacterial small subunit ribosomal RNA
Source: RNAcentral